GGAAAGCUUUGUCUAUCAUAUCAUUGUGUUGGCAUCUGCUGCUUGAGGUAGACUUCUUCAGUUAUCUUGUAAUGAAGCCAGUGAGUUAUUCAUCACAUAUUACUUUUGCUGCCUCAACUAAUACUGGUAUCAUGACAUGAUAUGUGCUGGGCCCUGUGCGUGCCCGGGCGCUAAUGUAACUUAUGCUUCCUAAAAAUAUAGUUGGCAUUUCUUUCCAAAUUAAUUUAGUGGCAUUGUAAAAAUAUUUCAAACUUAAUCUAGUGAAUUCACAUGAGUUAUAAA
Dioscorea cayenensis subsp. rotundata (Guinea yam) is the source of this 282-nucleotide long non-coding RNA. RefSeq lists it as uncharacterized. NCBI's taxonomy places the organism in Eukaryota, Viridiplantae, Streptophyta, Magnoliopsida, Dioscoreales, Dioscoreaceae. The record is from RefSeq and is a predicted model, not a curated record. The transcript is spliced from 2 exons.